RNAcentral lists this unclassified non-coding RNA (607 nucleotides) under Hevea brasiliensis (rubber tree). The record is from RNAcentral. Lineage: Eukaryota; Viridiplantae; Streptophyta; Magnoliopsida; Malpighiales; Euphorbiaceae.
UGCAUAGCUUGGUUUCAGUGGUACGUAUAAUUAAAUGACCAUCCAUUGUAUUAUUUAAUUGAUAAAAAGCUUAUCAGAUUUGAUGAGUUUUCUGAGGGAUAGAGAAAGAAAUAUUUGAAGAGCAAAGCAAAGCAAAGCAAAGCAAAGAAAAUGUUGAUUGAAAAGCAAUAGCUUUGCUGAACACUAAGAGGGUAGGAGAUAUCAAAAUCAAAUACAUGAAAUCUAAAGGUGCCUUAAAUCUUGAGAAUUUGGUGCUUAAAAGUCGGGAAGACGGGAGCACAUAUGAGCAAUUUUAUACUUCUUGAUUACUGCAUGAGAAUGAUGAAUAAAAUUUAACAUUCGUUAGCUGCAGAAGCAUGAAGUGGAGAAAGUUCUUGAGAAACUUAAAUUUUGCCAUCUUUUUUUUCCGGUUUGGGUGGGUUUUUGGGGGGUGGGGGUUUGGUAUUGAUGAUAGGCUUAUAAAGAAGCAACUUUUAUACAAUUGUUUUCAUAUUCAAACUGAAACUGGCCCUCUCUUAUAUGUGUAUGCUUAUAUCCUGAAUUUUUUAAUGAUGCAUUCCUUGUAUUACUCCUCUUACUUUUAGGUUUGCUAUUAUGGGCAACAUUA